RNAcentral lists this ribosomal RNA (246 nucleotides) under uncultured Actinomycetes bacterium. RNAcentral's name for it is "uncultured actinobacterium partial 16S ribosomal RNA". It matches the Rfam family "Bacterial small subunit ribosomal RNA", at positions 29 to 276 of the family's 1533-position model. Lineage: Bacteria; Bacillati; Actinomycetota; Actinomycetes. The record is from RNAcentral.
AGCGAACGCUGGCGGCGUGCUUAACACAUGCAAGUCGAGCGGUAAGGCCCUUUCGGGGGUACACGAGCGGCGAACGGGUGAGUAACACGUGGGUGACCUGCCCUUAGCUCUGGGAUAAGCCUGGGAAACUGGGUCUAAUACCGGAUAUGACUCCAUGACGCAUGUUGUGGGGUGGAAAGCCUUGUGCGGCUGGGGAUGGGCCCGCGGCCUAUCAGCUUGUUGGUGGGUGAUGGCCUACCAAGGCGA